UACGAACCGUGCGAACGUUGUUCGGAAUCACUGGGCUUAAAGGGCGCGUAGGCGGCUUGCCAAGUCAGGGGUGAAAUCCAGCAGCUUAACUGUUGAAGUGCCUUUGAUACUGGCGAGCUCGAGGGAGGUAGGGGUCUGUGGAACUUCUGGUGGAGCGGUGAAAUGCGUUGAUAUCAGAAGGAACGCCGGUGGCGAAAGCGACGGACUGGACCUCUUCUGACGCUGAGGCGCGAAAGCUAGGGGAGCAAACGGG
Molecule: ribosomal RNA, 253 nt
Filed under: uncultured bacterium
Lineage: Bacteria
Description: partial 16S ribosomal RNA
Rfam family: Bacterial small subunit ribosomal RNA
Source: RNAcentral